UGUAAGAGUGAGCCUGCUCGCGAUUGCGGUGUGUCAGGUAUGAAGCUUCGGCUGACACGACGCUAUCGCGAGCAGGCUCACUCCUACA
Molecule: unclassified non-coding RNA, 88 nt
Filed under: Pseudomonas moraviensis
Lineage: Bacteria; Pseudomonadati; Pseudomonadota; Gammaproteobacteria; Pseudomonadales; Pseudomonadaceae
Source: RNAcentral